Molecule: ribosomal RNA, 111 nt
Filed under: Caerostris darwini
Lineage: Eukaryota; Metazoa; Arthropoda; Arachnida; Araneae; Araneidae
Source: RNAcentral
AACGGCCAUACCAUGCUGAAUAUACCGGUUCUCGUUAGAUCACCGAAGUCAAACAUCAUUGGGCGCGGUCAGUACUUGGUGGGUGACCACCUGGAAACACCGCGUGCCGUU